UGAGGUGUAGCUCAGUGGCAGAGCAAAUGCUUAUCAUGCAUGAGCCCCUGGGUUCAAGCCUCAGCACCAAAA
This is a non-coding RNA of Ictidomys tridecemlineatus (thirteen-lined ground squirrel), 72 nucleotides long. The record is from Rfam. NCBI's taxonomy places the organism in Eukaryota, Metazoa, Chordata, Mammalia, Rodentia, Sciuridae.